GAUGAAGACGUAGCGAAAUGCGAUAAGUAAUGUGAAUUGCAGAAUUCAGUGAAUCAUCGAAUCUUUGAACGCACAUUGCGCCCGCCAGUAUUCUGGCGGGCAUGCCUGUUCGAGCGUCAUUUCAACCCUCAAGCCCCAGCGGCCUGGUGUUGGGGACCGGCGACCUCGCCCGAGCCCGCCCUCCGGGGCGCGUGCCCGGUGCGUCCGCCGCCCCCGAAAUGAAUUGGCGGCCUCGUCGCGGCCUCCUCUGCGUAGUAGCACAACCUCGCAAGCGGGAGCGCGACGCGGCCACUGCCGUAAAACGCCCAACUUUUUUAGAGUUGACCUCGGAUCAGGUAGGAAUACCCGCUGAACUUAAGCAUAUCAAUAAGCGGAGGA
Molecule: unclassified non-coding RNA, 378 nt
Filed under: soil metagenome
Description: partial contains 5.8S ribosomal RNA, internal transcribed spacer 2, and large subunit ribosomal RNA
Rfam family: 5.8S ribosomal RNA (bases 1-119)
Source: RNAcentral